GAUGAACGCUGGCGGCGUGCCUAAUACAUGCAAGUCGAGCGAACGGACGAGAAGCUUGCUUCUCUGAUGUUAGCGGCGGACGGGUGAGUAACACGUGGAUAACCUACCUAUAAGACUGGGAUAACUUCGGGAAACCGGAGCUAAUACCGGAUAAUAUUUUGAACCGCAUGAUUCAAAAGUGAAAGACGGUCUUGCUGUCACUUAUAGAUGGAUCCGCGCUGCAUUAGCUAGUUGGUAAGGUAACGGCUUACCAAGGCAACGAUGCAUAGCCGACCUGAGAGGGUGAUCGGCCACACUGGAACUGAGACACGGUCCAGACUCCUACGGGAGGCAGCAGUAGGGAAUCUUCCGCAAUGGGCGAAAGCCUGACGGAGCAACGCCGCGUGAGUGAUGAAGGUCUUCGGAUCGUAAAACUCUGUUAUUAGGGAAGAACAUAUGUGUAAGUAACUGUGCACAUCUUGACGGUACCUAAUCAGAAAGUCACGGCUAACUACGUG
Molecule: ribosomal RNA, 497 nt
Filed under: uncultured bacterium
Lineage: Bacteria
Description: partial 16S ribosomal RNA
Rfam family: Bacterial small subunit ribosomal RNA
Source: RNAcentral